RNAcentral lists this transfer RNA (72 nucleotides) under Marmota marmota marmota (Alpine marmot). It matches the Rfam family "tRNA". Rfam says of the family: Transfer RNA (tRNA) molecules are approximately 80 nucleotides in length. Their secondary structure includes four short double-helical elements and three loops (D, anti-codon, and T loops). The record is from Rfam by way of RNAcentral. Lineage: Eukaryota; Metazoa; Chordata; Mammalia; Rodentia; Sciuridae. RNAcentral also lists the same sequence under 1 other name.
AGGGUUGUGGCUCAGUGGUAGAGCGCUUGCCUAGCAUGUGUGAGGCACUGGGUUCAAUUUUCAGCAUCCCAU